This 66-nucleotide transfer RNA is filed under the name Ornithodoros turicata. RNAcentral's name for it is "tRNA-Leu". Lineage: Eukaryota; Metazoa; Arthropoda; Arachnida; Ixodida; Argasidae. The record is from RNAcentral.
AUUAGCUUGGCAGAUUAAUUGUGUCAAAUUUAGAAUUUGAUGAGGACUCUGGGUAGUCAGUUAAUA